GCGUCAAUCAACAAUGGGGUCAAGCCUUUUGCCUCGUUGCACCCUUGAAAGCAAGAUGGGUCAUCAACAGCUCUAUUGGAGCCAUCCGCGAAAAUUUGGCCAGGGUUCUCGCUCUUGCCGCGUGUGUUCAAACCGGCACGGUCUGAUCCGGAAAUACGGCCUCAACAUGUGCCGGCAGUGUUUCCGUCAGUACGCGAAGGAUAUAGGCUUCAUUAAGUUGGACUAAGUGAUCUUCCUUGAAUGGAUUACCCAAGACAGCCAUCCAGUGAAGGAGAACAUGCUCACUCUUUGU
RNAcentral lists this long non-coding RNA (292 nucleotides) under Marmota monax (woodchuck). The record is from RNAcentral. Lineage: Eukaryota; Metazoa; Chordata; Mammalia; Rodentia; Sciuridae.